This 327-nucleotide small nuclear RNA is filed under the name Aotus nancymaae (Ma's night monkey). RNAcentral's name for it is "7SK RNA (ENSANAG00000010545.1)". The stretch from base 1 to 276 matches the Rfam family "7SK RNA". From Rfam's summary of the family: 7SK was discovered as an abundant small nuclear RNA in the mid-70s but a possible function has only recently been suggested. Two independent studies have found that 7SK RNA binds the CDK9/cyclin T complex (known as elongation factor P-TEFb). Lineage: Eukaryota; Metazoa; Chordata; Mammalia; Primates; Aotidae. The record is from Rfam by way of RNAcentral.
GGAUGUGAGGGCGAUCUGGCUGCGACAUCCGUCACCCCAUUGAUUGCCAGGGUUGAUUUGGCUGAUCUGGCUGGCUAGGUGGUUGUCCCCUUCCUCCCUCACUGCUCCAUGUGCAUCCCUCCCGAAGCUGCAUGCUCGGUCAAAGAGGACGACCAUCCCCGAUAGAGGAGGACCGGUCUUCGGUCAAGAGUAUACGAGUAGCUGCGCUCCCCUGCUAGAACCUCCAAACAAGCUCUCAAAACUCAAGGAAAAAUUGACAAUAUCCACUAUAAAAGGGGAGGGAUUUCAGGUUCCGAUAUUGAAGAAAGUGUUCAUUAGAUUGGGACC